GACGAACGCUGGCGGCGUGCCUAAUACAUGCAAGUUGAGCGCUGAAGGUUGGUACUUGUACCAACUGGAUGAGCAGCGAACGGGUGAGUAACGCGUGGGGAAUCUGCCUUUGAGCGGGGGACAACAUUUGGAAACGAAUGCUAAUACCGCAUAAAAACUUUAAACACAAGUUUUAAGUUUGAAAGAUGCAAUUGCAUCACUCAAAGAUGAUCCCGCGUUGUAUUAGCUAGUUGGUGAGGUAAAGGCUCACCAAGGCGAUGAUACAUAGCCGACCUGAGAGGGUGAUCGGCCACAUUGGGACUGAGACACGGCCCAAACUCCUACGGAGGCAGCAGUAGGGAAUCUUCGGCAAUGGACGAAAGUCUGACCGAGCAACGCCGCGUGAGUGAAGAAGGUUUUCGGAUCGUAAAACUCUGUUGGUAGAGAAGAACGUUGGUGAGAGUGGAAAGCUCAUCAAGUGACGGUAACUACCCAGAAAGGGACGGCUAACUACGUG
Molecule: ribosomal RNA, 496 nt
Filed under: uncultured bacterium
Lineage: Bacteria
Description: partial 16S ribosomal RNA
Rfam family: Bacterial small subunit ribosomal RNA
Source: RNAcentral